CAAGAGCCAUAGAACAGUAAAGAAAAAUGCCAAGUACAUUAGUGUUCAAUCAGAUGAGGAAGAAGACACCAUGGCAAGAAAGCAGCCUCCGCCAAAGAAAAGGCGCAUUUUGGACUCUUCUUUGGCAGUAAUAAAGGAAAAGUUGAAGGGAAAAUUGGCAGAUAAAUUUGAGGUCGAAGUUGGGGGAGAUGAUGACAUGUGCAAGGAGGAGGAAAACACGUACCAGGUA
Lingula anatina is the source of this 229-nucleotide long non-coding RNA. NCBI's taxonomy places the organism in Eukaryota, Metazoa, Brachiopoda, Lingulata, Lingulida, Lingulidae. The record is from RefSeq and is a predicted model, not a curated record.